AUGAUUGCCACUCCGAAAAGAAAAACCUCAUAGGUUCCUUUUCACUCCUAAAUCCCUUUUAGAAGAAGAGCGCUUGUAUCAAACUAGAUGAAUGUAGGACUGGAGAACAUCAAGGAGAAUGGGUGGGUUAGGAUAUAUUUGAGCCUUAAAUCAUUUCUUUCUGAAACCGUGAACCAGACCGUGUUACAACCCUUAAAAUACCUAAUUGAAGUAGGGUUUAUUUCGAAAGCAUACUAUGGC
RNAcentral lists this long non-coding RNA (240 nucleotides) under Lathyrus oleraceus (garden pea). Its description in RNAcentral is "Pisum sativum (pea) long non-coding RNA (PSAT_LNC037862)". The record is from RNAcentral. Lineage: Eukaryota; Viridiplantae; Streptophyta; Magnoliopsida; Fabales; Fabaceae.